UACUCCUACGGGAGGCAGCAGUAAGGAAUAUUGGUCAAUGGGCGCAAGCCUGAACCAGCCAUGCCGCGUGCAGGAAGACAGCCCUACGGGUCGUAAACUGCUUUUAUACCGGAAUAAAUCCUUUCACGUGUGAGAGGUUGAAUGUACGGUAGGAAUAAGGAUCGGCUAACUCCGUGCCAGCAGCCGCGGUAAU
Molecule: ribosomal RNA, 193 nt
Filed under: uncultured Bacteroidota bacterium
Lineage: Bacteria; Pseudomonadati; Bacteroidota
Description: uncultured Bacteroidetes bacterium partial 16S ribosomal RNA
Rfam family: Bacterial small subunit ribosomal RNA
Source: RNAcentral